UUGAACGCUGGCGGCAUGCCUUACACAUGCAAGUCGCACGGCAGCACGGGUGCUUGCACCUGGUGGCGAGUGGCGAACGGGUGAGUAAUACAUCGGAACAUGCCCUGUAGUGGGGAUAGCCCGGCGAAAGCCGGAUUAAUACCGCAUACGAUCUACGGAUGAAAGCGGGGGACCUUCGGGCCUCGCGCUAUAGGGUUGGCCGAUGGCUGAUUAGCUAGUUGGUGGGGUAAAGGCCUACCAAGGCGACGAUCAGUAGCUGGUCUGAGAGGACGACCAGCCACACUGGGACUGAGACACGGCCCAGACUCCUACGGGAGGCAGCAGUGGGGAAUUUUGGACAAUGGGCGAAAGCCUGAUCCAGCAAUGCCGCGUGUGUGAAGAAGGCCUUCGGGUUGUAAAGCACUUUUGUCCGGAAAGAAAUCCUUGGCCCUAAUACGGUCGGGGGAUGACGGUACCGGAAGAAUAGGCACCGGCUAACUACGUG
RNAcentral lists this ribosomal RNA (484 nucleotides) under uncultured bacterium. RNAcentral's name for it is "partial 16S ribosomal RNA". It matches the Rfam family "Bacterial small subunit ribosomal RNA", at positions 30 to 507 of the family's 1533-position model. The record is from RNAcentral.